CGGCUGUUUCCCUGCUGUCCAGCCAGACUGCUCCCCCCACUGCCCCACCCCCACCCCAGCAGCCUCAAGCCCUUAAUUCCUGACAGCUGCGGUGGCUCCCGGCAGAGAUGGGGGAGAGGAGGAGGGAGAUGCCGUCAGCCUGCUGUUGCUCAGGCCGCCACCACCACCUGACAGUCUAGGGACAGGGAAGGCCCCACCCUUCUCGUUCGAUUCCCCAGGGGGGGCCAAUUCCAGGAAUGGGCCCCUUUUUGUCUCUGAGCCCAGAGGCUUUGGUCGUUUAUCCUUAAGCCAGCAGGGGCUCUCUUCAGAGAGGGGGGCAGUGAGGUUGGGAGGGAUGCAUAUGUAUAGAGUGAGAGGCUUGUGCCCAUUUUACAGAGGGGAUGUCAAGGCCACAGUGGAAUAGGUUUUGCUAUCAGGGUGCAGGUUAGAGCCAGAAACAGAAGCUGGAGCUUGUCCCUGACUCUCUGGCUUUUGGGCCCUUACCUGGGUCCGGUACACUCAACAUGCUAGGCAAACCUAGUGUUCAGCUGGGAUGUGAGGACAGAAAAGAAUCCCAGAGAGGCGUGGCCCUGAGCCAGGAAGCUGGUGUUCCGGAGCUCCCAGAGGACCAAGAGACAGGGCCAAGGUGAGACCUGGGAUAUCUAUAGGCUAGACAUGGGGAAGGAGGACUCACUGUUGGGACUGCUGCUGCUAUGCUCAAGUGGGCUUUGAUUCAGCUCUUCCACUAACUUGCUGGGUGACCUUGAGUAAGUCAUGACCCUUUCUGAGCCUCAGUAUUUUCUUAUGAAAUAAAAGAGGAUGAAAUAAGAUAACCUCAAAGCACACUUUUAGGAUUAAAAGACUCUAAUCCCUCCUCUUAGGGUAUGCCACCCCUGGAUGCUCUGCUCCCAGACAAGUAUUCACUGGAGUCCCAGGACUUUUACCUUCACUGGCUCAUUGAUGAGAUGAGGUGGGUCUCAUUAACCUCAUUUCACUGAGGCAGAGGGUGGCUUCGUUUCCAGGAAGCACCUGUUGAAGGUCACACAGCCAACAAGAGCAAGAUCGGGGGGGCUGCCAACCCCUCUGCAGGACCCCACACCUGCCUCAGCAGCCAAGCCUGGGAAGUCCCUCCUGAGGUGGGGGAGGCGAGCAGAGGGC
This 1137-nucleotide long non-coding RNA is filed under the name Bos grunniens (domestic yak). Its description in RNAcentral is "lncRNA (ENSBGRG00000000681.1)". Lineage: Eukaryota; Metazoa; Chordata; Mammalia; Artiodactyla; Bovidae. The record is from RNAcentral.